UCAUUUGGAGAUAGACAUUUAUUUGGCCUAUUGGCAAUAUAGAUGCAGAGGAAAUAUUUGAGGAGGUAUUGUUUGACAGGAUUGGGCAGCAAACUUUAAGGGCUCGGAUGUUUUCAACCCGCGCAAAAGAUUUAAAUUGAUUGCGUUUAUCUAUACUAUCGUAUAAAGCAUUUCACAAGGGUUCCAACCAAAUUUAAAUAAUUGCAACAUAUUAUGCUUAUAGUACAACAACUCAAUGAAGUUAGUAAAGGGAAUUAGUCUUUCUACA
Helianthus annuus (common sunflower) is the source of this 268-nucleotide long non-coding RNA. RefSeq lists it as uncharacterized. Lineage: Eukaryota; Viridiplantae; Streptophyta; Magnoliopsida; Asterales; Asteraceae. The transcript is spliced from 2 exons. The record is from RefSeq and is a predicted model, not a curated record.